RNAcentral lists this ribosomal RNA (736 nucleotides) under uncultured Bacteroidota bacterium. RNAcentral's name for it is "bacterial SSU rRNA". It matches the Rfam family "Bacterial small subunit ribosomal RNA", at positions 35 to 769 of the family's 1533-position model. The record is from RNAcentral. Lineage: Bacteria; Pseudomonadati; Bacteroidota.
GCUAGCGGCAGGCUUAACACAUGCAAGUCGAGGGGUAAGGCUCUUUCGGGAGUACACGACCGGCGCACGGGUGAGUAACGCGUAUGCAACCUACCUCUAACAGGGGGAUAGCCCGAAGAAAUUCGGAUUAAUACCGCAUAAUAUCGAGAUAUCGCAUGAUACUUCGAUAAAAGCUCCGGCGGUUAGAGAUGGGCAUGCGUGACAUUAGAUUGUUGGUGAGGUAACGGCUCACCAAGUCUACGAUGUCUAGGGGGUCUGAGAGGAUGGUCCCCCACACUGGUACUGAGACACGGACCAGACUCCUACGGGAGGCAGCAGUGAGGAAUAUUGGGCAAUGGACGCAAGUCUGACCCAGCCAUGCCGCGUGCAGGAUGACUGCCCUAUGGGUUGUAAACUGCUUUUGUACGGGAAGAACUCCCCUAACGUGUUGGGGGCUGACGGUACCGUAAGAAUAAGCAUCGGCUAACUCCGUGCCAGCAGCCGCGGUAAUACGGAGGAUGCAGGCGUUAUCCGGAUUUAUUGGGUUUAAAGGGUGCGUAGCGGGUUAAUAAGUCAGUGGUGAAAUCCCUCAGCUCAACUGAGGAACUGCCAUUGAUACUGUUAGUCUUGAGUAUAGUUGAGGUGGGCGGAAUGUGUCAUGUACCGGUGAAAUGCAUAGAUAUGACACAGAACACCGAUUGCGUUAGGCAGCUCACUUAAACUAUUACUGACGCUGAUGCACCAAAGCGUGGGGAGC